CCCUUAGAUGUUCUGGGCCGCACGCGCGCUACACUGAAUGCUACCACACGACGAUACACCCUUGUCCGAUACGGUCAGGGGAAAUCGUUUAAAAUGCAUUCUACGUGAUGGGAAUGGAGUAUUGUAAUUUGUACUCCUGAACGAGGAAUUCCUAGUAAUCGCAAGUCAACAGCUUGCAAUGAUUACGUCCCUGCCCUUUGUACACACCGCCCGUCGCUACUACUGAUUGGAUGGUUAAGCAAGAACUUCAAAUACUUGCAGUUUUGACUUCGGUUGGGACAGCGAGUUGAAGAAGAUCGAGCUUAUUUGUCUAGAGGAAGUAAAAGUCGUAACA
RNAcentral lists this ribosomal RNA (334 nucleotides) under uncultured eukaryote. RNAcentral's name for it is "partial 18S ribosomal RNA". It matches the Rfam family "Eukaryotic small subunit ribosomal RNA", at positions 1470 to 1796 of the family's 1831-position model. The record is from RNAcentral.